Molecule: ribosomal RNA, 744 nt
Filed under: uncultured Corynebacterium sp.
Lineage: Bacteria; Bacillati; Actinomycetota; Actinomycetes; Mycobacteriales; Corynebacteriaceae
Description: bacterial SSU rRNA
Rfam family: Bacterial small subunit ribosomal RNA
Source: RNAcentral
GACGAACGCUGGCGGCGUGCUUAACACAUGCAAGUCGAACGGAAAGGCCUGUGCUUGCACGGGUACUCGAGUGGCGAACGGGUGAGUAACACGUGGGUGAUCUGCCCUUCACUUCGGGAUAAGCCUGGGAAACUGGGUCUAAUACUGGAUAGGACCAUCGUUUAGUGUCGGUGGUGGAAAGUUUUUUCGGUGGAGGAUGAGCUCGCGGCCUAUCAGCUUGUUGGUGGGGUAAUGGCCUACCAAGGCGACGACGGGUAGCCGGCCUGAGAGGGUGGACGGCCACAUUGGGACUGAGACACGGCCCAGACUCCUACGGGAGGCAGCAGUGGGGAAUCUUGCACAAUGGGCGGAAGCCUGAUGCAGCGACGCCGCGUGAGGGAUGACGGCCUUCGGGUUGUAAACCUCUUUCGCUAGGGAAGAAGCCGCUUUGUGGUGGUGACGGUACCUGGAUAAGAAGCACCGGCUAACUACGUGCCAGCAGCCGCGGUAAUACGUAGGGUGCGAGCGUUGUCCGGAAUUACUGGGCGUAAAGAGCUCGUAGGUGGUUUGUCGCGUCGUCUGUGAAAUCCCGGGGCUUAACUUCGGGCGUGCAGGCGAUACGGGCAAGCUGGAGUGCUGUAGGGGAGACUGGAAUUCCUGGUGUAGCGGUGGAAUGCGCAGAUAUUAGGAAGAACACCGAUGGCGAAGGCAGGUCUCUGGGCAGUAACUGACACUGAGGAGCGAAAAGCAUGGGUAGCGAACAGG